AACGAACGCUGGCGGCGCGCCUAAUACAUGCAAGUCGAACGAGAAGCUGUAGCAAUACAGUUGUACAGUGGCGAACGGGUGAGGAAUACAUGGGUGACCUACCCUCGAGUGGGGAAUAACCAGCCGAAAGGUUGGCUAAUACCGCGUACGCUUCCCAGUCUACGGGUUGGGAAGGAAAGCGAUGCCGUGGGUAUCGCGCUCAAGGUUGGGCUCAUGUCCUAUCAGCNGUUGGUGGGGUAACGGCUCACCAAGGCAACGACGGGUAGCUGGUCUGAGAGGACGAUCAGCCACACUGGCACUGCGACACGGGCCAGACUCCUACGGGAGGCAGCAGUAAGGAAUAUUGCGCAAUGGGCGAAAGCCUGACGCAGCGACGCCGCGUGGGGGA
RNAcentral lists this ribosomal RNA (388 nucleotides) under uncultured bacterium. Its description in RNAcentral is "bacterial SSU rRNA". It matches the Rfam family "Bacterial small subunit ribosomal RNA", at positions 29 to 408 of the family's 1533-position model. The record is from RNAcentral.